This 119-nucleotide ribosomal RNA is filed under the name Pteropus alecto (black flying fox). Lineage: Eukaryota; Metazoa; Chordata; Mammalia; Chiroptera; Pteropodidae. The record is from RNAcentral.
AUUUACGGCCAUGCUCUCCUGAACAAGCCCGAUCUUGUCUGAUUUCAGAAGCUAAGCAGGGUCGAGCCUGGUUAGUACUUGGAUGGGAGACCACCUGGGAAGACCAGGUUCUGUAGGCA